GGCUCGUUGGUCUAGGGGUAUGAUUCUCGCUUAGGGUGCGAGAGGUUCCGGGUCCAAAUCCCGGACGAGCCC
Molecule: transfer RNA, 72 nt
Filed under: Dreissena polymorpha
Lineage: Eukaryota; Metazoa; Mollusca; Bivalvia; Myida; Dreissenidae
Description: transfer RNA proline (anticodon AGG)
Source: RNAcentral